CAAACGCUGUGGGUCUUCUUCGUCUGCCUUAGGUCCUGCAGGACUCAUGUUUGUGUUCCUUCCUCGCAGCUCUCGAGGUGUACGCGCGCGCCGCCUCUGGAGGGUGGGAAGUGCCUUUGCUUCCGAGGCCAGGGAAGAAGGAACAGCAAUCUGAGAUUUUACAAGAUAAAUGCAACAGCAAGAAGUUACUAACAACGUUGGUUAUAAGCAAAGAGAAAACAGGUAGUAAAGCAAAAAGAAGAACCUCAAAGUUGUAAUACGCCAGAAACUUAAGGACAGAGCAUUUGUCAUAUUCCUAAUUCAGCAUGGCCUAACCAUGACCAACAAGGUGAGAGGCAGUUCACACCUCCUCUGGCCAAGCUCCAUCAGUGUGCUGCAUGAGCUGCCUACUCAAGGUGACACUCCAGCAAAAGCUGCCAUUCAGAACUUGGAAACCCAACCAAUAUGGAUAAAAGUAUCAGCAGUAAUGUGUGUCUUUAGUUUUUGCAUUUCAGUAGUUCAGAUUUCACUGAAAAUUCUUUGGGAUCUUCAGCACAUGGAAGAUUAGAAUCAGUAAUUUAGUAUUAUAAUGAAGACUAAUUAAGGCCUUUCCAAGAUACCAGAAGGUGAUCAAGGAAAGCUCUCUUCUUCCUUUGCAAGUCUAGUCUGGUGCUAUCAGAUUAAAUGAAGUGCAACUCACGGUUAAUGAAGUUUUUGCUAUUCUAUUAAAAUAAAAUUUAGUCUCUUAAAAUGCUUCCCUUCCAUACACAGUUUCUGUCCGUAUUUUGUCUAUUUUAGCAUAAUCAUAACCCAUAUUUAGCCCAGAAAAAUGUUUUUAGAUUUUACUAAUUUCAAAACAUUGUCAAAUAGACACACAAGUGUAUCUUCUCUAUGUAUUGACAGCCUCAUUCACACGCCUACAAGUUCAUCUAAGACUCUUUCCACUUAUGCAUAGAAAACAAAUGACCUUUCAGGGAAAUACCUAUCAGUUUUAAUCAAUGCUGCUGCUUUUCAGUUAGGAUUAUUAAAAAUCUCAAACAUUAAUCUCCUGUAAGUGCAGAAUGAGUCAUUUUAGAUACUGGUUUCUUUGGAGUUCGGUUGAUUUGUAGGAGUACAUACUGGAGUGAUUAAUGAGAUUUCAGUAGCUUUUUGCAUAGCUUCCUACCUAAAGCAAAUAAAAUAAAAUAAAAGUUAACAAACAAACAAAAACCCCAAACCAGCAAGGGCAAAUUAGUUGUGUGCCUUUCACUACUUCCUGUAAAAUCUUACACUGACUCCUAAAGGUUUCAUUUUGCAUGAAAGGUAUUUAAGCAAGAGUUUUAGCAGAUGAAAAAGACAUUCCAAGAACUUGUGAAUGUUCCUUAGGUUCUGCCUUAUAAAGUCUGUUAGGUGCACUUGGCACAGGCUGUGAGUCUGACCCUGAUUUCCAAGCACGUGAACGGCCAAAACAAAAUGCCUUUUCUGUAAUACUUUUUUUCCCUUUUUCUAAAAGUGUAUAUUAGGCACACAUCUGAAGAAACAAUAUUUUACUCCUUUAUUUUAAGUUUAGGUAGCAGUCACAAGAGAUUAGAUGCUGUUAAGUGUAAUGAAGCAUGAAGAUUACAAGAUAAAUGAACCUGAGGCUUUUCAGCUCGAUAGGAUCAUUCAGCACAUAAUGAUACAGAUUUUGUAUUUCAGACACAAAUGUCACCUUGGGGUUGAAAUCAUGCUAGAUGAAUCUGUGCGAACUUGUUUUAUAGUCAACCACUGGAUCCCUUAGCUUAAGAAGGAAGAAAGAUAAUGAUUCAAUUAACUAAAACUGCUGCUUUCAAAAAUGUGUUUUCCAGUGUGAAACUUAUUUUAUUCAUCCCUAAUUAUACAUUGCUGAAAACUGUUAACUGUUAUUAAGGAGAAAUAAGUCUGAGGUUUUGGGAGCAUGGCAGGUUUUUCCUGCUGUAAGCUCCACAAUGAUCUUUUCCUAUACUAAUCCUAGAUGGUGUAUAUUUUCCUUUGUUUCUACCCAACUUUCCUUUUUAUUUGUAAUGUACGUGUGACAUAUUCAAAAAAUUAGUGCCUUAAGAGCAGUUAAGAUAUUACUACCUUAAAAACACAUCAUUGUUACAUACAGUUGUAUUUGUUUUGCUGAGUAGGUUCCAGCUCAGUUACAGAAGAAGUUACAGAUAAUGCAAAAAACCUGUCUUAGAACAGCAGCUGUUGCUAUAGGCAGAUUGGCCAAAAGCCUGUCCCUAUAUUUCUUUACAUGGAAACAAAGGGAUAGAUGUAUGUAUUGUCUGAGUAGAGAACAUGAUGAUGUUGUGUGCCUGUGACAAAAAAUACAAUAGUAUUUUUUUGGAAAAGUAUACUUACUUAUGGAUUAAAAAAAAUUGGAAUAUGCCAUGUAUUAAGCUUGAAUUUGAUCAAGAUCAGUUGUUCUGGUAAUGUUCCUUCAGAGAUGAGAGUUUUAGUGACAGGGUAAAGAUACUUCUACAUCUGUGGAAUUUAAAGCCUGCUACUGUCAAGUUGCCAGGACCCUUAAAUGUGUGCUGAAGUGUCCUUCUCUCUUUUAGUAAAUCAAAAAUGUUUAUACUUACUGUCACAAGUAGUAGAAGAAUACCAACAAUUGCUUCUGUGUUUAGAAUUCUGUGGAGUCUGCUACCUGUGAGCAGACUCUGCUUAAAUUCUCUGAAACUACUAAUUGCUAACCUCAUUCUUGACAUACUUCAGCCUCCAACAGCCUGCUGAAACUUCUGUUACACCUUCUGGGAAUCUAUCUAUAGUAAUUUCUUUCUCUCCCCACAUGGCUCCAAGCCAGAAAUAUAUCCAUUUGCACAAAUGCUUCUUAACCUUGCUCACGGUUUUUUAAUUUUUUUUUCUUUCUGCUUCUCUGUUUGCCGGAUGCUUUUCUAGUAAAUUCAGUAUUUGCCAUGUUUGCUGUGUAAUGGACUGGUGGUUACAAUGCAUUUUCUAAACUACUGUUUGUUUCAGUUUUAGUGCACUGAAUAAAAUUAUUUCUCUGUUGUCAUUUUA
Molecule: long non-coding RNA, 2985 nt
Organism: Manacus vitellinus (golden-collared manakin)
Lineage: Eukaryota; Metazoa; Chordata; Aves; Passeriformes; Pipridae
Exons: 5
Source: RefSeq, a predicted model, not a curated record